Molecule: ribosomal RNA, 716 nt
Filed under: Russula ochroleuca
Lineage: Eukaryota; Fungi; Basidiomycota; Agaricomycetes; Russulales; Russulaceae
Description: eukaryotic LSU rRNA
Rfam family: 5.8S ribosomal RNA (bases 251-404)
Source: RNAcentral
AAAAGUCGUAACAAGGUUUCCGUAGGUGAACCUGCGGAAGGAUCAUUAUUGUAUAACCGAGGUGCGAGGGCUGUCGCUGACCCGAAAGGUCGUGCACGCCCGAGUGCCCUCACACACAUCCAUCUCACCCCUAUGUGCACCACCGCGUGGGUCCCCCUUUGGCUUGUUCGGAGGGGGGCUUACGUUUUCACACAAACUUUGUAUGCAGUGUAGAAUGUAUUUUUUGUUUUUGCGAUCACGCAAUCAAUACAACUUUCAACAACGGAUCUCUUGGCUCUCGCAUCGAUGAAGAACGCAGCGAAAUGCGAUACGUAAUGUGAAUUGCAGAAUUCAGUGAAUCAUCGAAUCUUUGAACGCACCUUGCGCCCCUUGGCAUUCCGAGGGGCACACCCGUUUGAGUGUCGUGAAAUUCUCAAAUUCCUUUUUCUUUUUGGGAAAGGGUUUUUGGACUUGGAGGCUUUUUGCUGGCUUCACCUUGAAGUGAGCUCCUCCUAAAUGAAUCAGUGGGGUCCGCUUUGCCGAUCCUUGACGUGAUAAGAUGUUUCUGCGUCUUUGGGUUUGGCACUGUCACCUGCUUCUAACUGUCUCAUUGACAAUGAUGGUGCUCCGGUCACCACCGCUCUUAUCGGUGGGAGGCUUGACCCACAAAAACAAAACCUUGACCUCAAAUCGGGUGAGACUACCCGCUGAACUUAAGCAUAUCAAUAAGCGGAGGA